This 1365-nucleotide long non-coding RNA is filed under the name Parus major (Great Tit). Its description in RNAcentral is "lncRNA (ENSPMJG00000013964.1)". Lineage: Eukaryota; Metazoa; Chordata; Aves; Passeriformes; Paridae. The record is from RNAcentral.
GUGUUUGUUUCACCGUGGGAUGAAGCGAGAGUGUGAAGGUGGGCGGCUCUGCUUGGUUUGUGUGAUCUGCUCUGCUAAAAACCUGCAGUAGGGAAGGCAGAAAAAAAAGGUUUGGCUUGACAUCCCUGUGGCCCAGACAAAGGACUGGAAACUGGAACUUGCUGCAAUCUGAAAAUUUCUGCACUGAAAUCUGUUGGACUGAGAAAGGCCCAAGGAUCCUGCAUGAAAAUGGUGAGGAAUAUUGAACCUUUGACAGCUGAAUUUUUGUCUCCUGGCAUGUUACACAGGACAAUCUGUGCCUGAAAACACCUUCCACUUGUGGGGACUGCAGAGCUGAGCACCCACACACGCUGGAUAAAUGAAUAUACUCCAAAAAUGGCUGUUUCAAAUGGAGCUGCUCAGAAACAGGCAGGAAAGCAGAGAGUGGAGCCAGGCAAUUUGCCUCAAGCAGGCAGGUUAAACCACAAAUAUCUGUUAUUCUUUAUCAUGUCCCAGAAUAUUAUUGAAAAUAACACCUGAGCUAUUGCUCAGAAUGUUUUCUCCUGAUGAGGUGAGAGAGCUGUCAUUUUAAUCCUUCUUGCUGAGUUUCCUCUGUCUCAAACAUUGCUCUGUUCCAGUUUGCCUCAGAUAAAAGCUGACUUUUGAGGUUUAGCUCCCUUUUGUUCACCUCAGUGCCUCUUCCUUCCACAGCUCCUCUCUUUGGUGUCUCCACACGAGACUUUGCUUUUCUUCUCUGAAAAGGUCGAAAGUAAAAUCAUGCUCCUUCCUGCAUGCCAAACUCCUUGACUCACAAACAAGCUGCAGCAGCAGAAUAAAAGGGAAAAUUUGGCUCAGAGUUCACAACUUCUCUCGAGCACAUGACAGGUGUGUUAGCUCCCAUUAAGAAAGCUCUCUGGAAAUUCAGAGGAUUGUACAGGUAAUCACUGUUUGAUUAAUAAUUUACAACACCAACAGGACAGAAAUGAAAAUUGGGGAAUGACAAUCUCCAAGCAGCUGUGGGCCUGUCAAAAAUGGAAACUUCAAGGCAACAUUCUCCAUUCCAUCUCUCUGCCUGUGCAACUGGAGAUGCCCAGCAAAAAAAUCCACCUGCUUCAAAGCCUUAGUUUGUGUCUCAGCACCAGCAGCAGCCGCAAACUGCUGUGUCUGGAGUGUCCCCAUCUCCUCAGAACCGUGCCACUGCUCUGUUCCUGGAGGGUUCCACACCUGGGGACUCACAUCUCCCUUUUAUCCAUCUCCAGCUGUGAGAAUCAACCUUUUAUGGAGGACCCAGUGAGGCAAAACCCGAGAUGUGAUGCCAGCUCCGUGUUCAAAAAGGAGAUUUCAGCAUGUGCUGUGUAGCUCAGGACUGGAUCUGCUCUCAAUCUG